Long non-coding RNA from Temnothorax curvispinosus, 468 nucleotides. RefSeq lists it as uncharacterized. The transcript is spliced from 2 exons. Lineage: Eukaryota; Metazoa; Arthropoda; Insecta; Hymenoptera; Formicidae. The record is from RefSeq and is a predicted model, not a curated record.
UGGAAAACAACUUAGACCUCGAAAAAAAAAACCGGAUAACCGGAAUCGGGCCUCAGGCGUAUGAUAGGAACGCAAUGCGUCAUCGCCGACAAUUCAAAUGUACCAGAAACACUACAUUUUCAUACUAAAAUGCUAUAUUAAUACUUAAAUAUGAUUGAAACCAGCAUUUAAUCUGAUUUGUAGAUUGAAGAAAAAAAAUUCUAAGCAGAGAUGAAUAAAUUAUACAAUAUAUUGCGUAUUACUAACUUUUUUUUGUUAAGAUUAUAUAAAGAACGGUCAGCGUUAGAGAAAAAAGAGCGAAAAAGAAGGUUGGAUUAAAACAUAGAAGGUCAAUGUGUAUCAAUAUGUGCAAUAGUUACUUGUAAGUUAGGAUAGUAGUGUAUGAAUGGAAGGAUGAAUGAUUAAGGUUAUUUGUAAACCAAGUCCACUUCUUGGCUAUGUAGCUAAAGUUAACAAUAAAUAUAUAUA